Molecule: RNA transcript, 465 nt
Organism: Malus domestica (apple)
Lineage: Eukaryota; Viridiplantae; Streptophyta; Magnoliopsida; Rosales; Rosaceae
Gene name: actin cytoskeleton-regulatory complex protein SLA1-like
Source: RefSeq, a predicted model, not a curated record
CAGCAGCAGCAGCAGCAACAACAACAACAAUUGACAACACCCUUUGCUGAGGAGCCCUUUGCUGCCUUCGACCCCUCGACUCCAGGAGCUGGUUAGCUUCCAAUACUCCCUUCUAAACUGCUUCUAGGAGUCAUUCCGAGCAAACCCCUCAGACAACACCCUUUGCUGAGGAGCCCUUUGCUGCCUUCGACCCCUCGACUCCAGGAGCUGGUUAGCUUCCAACAUACUGAUCCCUCCUCAUUGUCAUUGGAAUACUCAGCUGACUAUAUCAGUGGAUGUGCAGACUAUGUCAGUGGAGAUUAUACCUACUUAGUUUGAAAAUAUUAUUAUGUACUUCUUUGAUAAUAACAACAAACAUUCACGAAUGUUUAUACAUCUUCAUCUGAAGUAUGCGCUAUCAUUGUAAAGUUUUUACCUUGAGAUUGGGAUAAUUACACAAGCAUUAGGUCUUUUAUAACAUUUUUC